AGAGUUUGAUCAUGGCUCAGAUUGAACGCUGGCGGCAGGCUUAACACAUGCAAGUCGAGCGGUAACAGGAGAAGCUUGCUUCUCGCUGACGAGCGGCGGACGGGUGAGUAAUACUUAGGAAUCUACCUAGUAGUGGGGGAUAGCACGGGGAAACUCGUAUUAAUACCGCAUACGACCUACGGGAGAAAGGGGGCAGUUUACUGCUCUCGCUAUUAGAUGAGCCUAAGUCGGAUUAGCUAGAUGGUGGGGUAAAGGCCUACCAUGGCGACGAUCUGUAGCUGGUCUGAGAGGAUGAUCAGCCACACCGGGACUGAGACACGGCCCGGACUCCUACGGGAGGCAGCAGUGGGGAAUAUUGGACAAUGGGGGAAACCCUGAUCCAGCCAUGCCGCGUGUGUGAAGAAGGCCUUUUGGUUGUAAAGCACUUUAAGCAGUGAAGAAGACUCCAUGGUUAAUACCCAUGGACGAUGACAUUAGCUGCAGAAUAAGCACCGGCUAACUCUGUGCCAGCAGCCGCGGUAAUACAGAGGGUGCAAGCGUUAAUCGGAAUUACUGGGCGUAAAGGGAGCGUAGGUGGCUCUAUAAGUCAGAUGUGAAAUCCCCGGGCUUAACCUGGGAACUGCAUCCGAAACUGUAGAGCUAGAGUAUGUGAGAGGAAGGUAGAAUUCCAGGUGUAGCGGUGAAAUGCGUAGAGAUCUGGAGGAAUACCGAUGGCGAAGGCAGCCUUCUGGCAUAAUACUGACACUGAGGCUCGAAAGCGUGGGUAGCAAACAGGAUUAGAUACCCUGGUAGUCCACGCCGUAAACGAUGUCUACUAGUCGUUGGGUCCCUUGAGGACUUAGUGACGCAGCUAACGCAAUAAGUAGACCGCCUGGGGAGUACGGCCGCAAGGUUAAAACUCAAAUGAAUUGACGGGGGCCCGCACAAGCGG
RNAcentral lists this ribosomal RNA (931 nucleotides) under uncultured Gammaproteobacteria bacterium. Its description in RNAcentral is "bacterial SSU rRNA". It matches the Rfam family "Bacterial small subunit ribosomal RNA", at positions 8 to 932 of the family's 1533-position model. Lineage: Bacteria; Pseudomonadati; Pseudomonadota; Gammaproteobacteria. The record is from RNAcentral.